GUUUUUAGAAGUACAUCCAGGAGUUCCUCCAGGAAUUGCUGCCCAAGUUCCUCAGGAUGGCGGUGAAGGCCUCGUUAGAACGGUGCGUAAUUUCGAGUCUCAAGAAGAGGUGGUCGUCGUUUACGACAAAGGCACUGCUAGCAACUAUUGGUACGCGGACGCAUCUGAUCUUCGAAUCCUGGAUAGUGCCCCGACCGAAAUUAAACACGUGAGAACCAUGUACGACAGAUGCCGAUAAUUGCCAUAUGCUGGAAGUGUGCCGAGUGUAACAAUUACGAUCUGUGCUCGAUCUGCUAUCACGGAGAUAUGCAUCAUUUGAGGAAUCGGUUGCAUCGAAUUUUGACACCAGGUGGCGAAAAAACGCUGUUGGAACCGCAACGCAAAUUAAAAAACAUUGCAGUGCGGGGGAUUUUUCCUGGGGCACGUUUUGUCCGAGGAGUCGAUUGGCAGUAGGAAGAUCAGGACGGUGGUAAUGGCCGACGCGAAAAGGUCAAUGUAAUUCAGGACUGGUCUUCGGCUUCAACAAAUUCAGCUGCACUGCAACAAUUUGCUGUGGGUGAUUUUGUCGAGAUUUGCAGUGAUUUGGAGAGGAUCAAGUGGCAUUUUCAUCGGAUGGAUCAACGGCUGUUACUACAAAUGGAGAACGAUUGUCGGCACUUUUGGAAAAGUUAUUUGAACCACACGCGUCUGAUGAUACGACUGAAGAAUUGGUGAAGGCAGCCAAUGGUGAUGUUGCUAAGGAUUGAACCCAACUAUUCAGAAAAACCAGCUAGCAGAAGUUCGGGAGGAAUCCAAAUCCGUAGAGACGCAUAUUACGUAUAAGGAAAAAGGAAUAAAAAAAUAAUAAUCAGGUUCAACAGACUUGUACGAACUGCUCAAAAUGGUUCACAGUCUACUCUGGAAGUCAGCACACAAGAUUGAGCGUCUUCUAGCAUUCAUCCCUCUGGGUGCCAUUACGAAGGACUACAUAUAAUUAAAAAAUUAAAUAAAUAUAAAAAAGGAUUUAUAAUAAAAUAA
This 1017-nucleotide long non-coding RNA is filed under the name Aedes aegypti (yellow fever mosquito). RNAcentral's name for it is "lncRNA AAEL023389". Lineage: Eukaryota; Metazoa; Arthropoda; Insecta; Diptera; Culicidae. The record is from RNAcentral.